Molecule: transfer RNA, 74 nt
Filed under: Draconetta xenica
Lineage: Eukaryota; Metazoa; Chordata; Actinopteri; Syngnathiformes; Draconettidae
Description: tRNA-Thr
Rfam family: tRNA
About the family: Transfer RNA (tRNA) molecules are approximately 80 nucleotides in length. Their secondary structure includes four short double-helical elements and three loops (D, anti-codon, and T loops).
Source: RNAcentral
GCAUUAGUAGCUCAGUGUUACAGAGCGUCGACCUUGUAAGUCGAACGCCGGAGGUUUAAUUCCUCCCUAUUGUA